Molecule: ribosomal RNA, 253 nt
Filed under: uncultured bacterium
Lineage: Bacteria
Description: partial 16S ribosomal RNA
Rfam family: Bacterial small subunit ribosomal RNA
Source: RNAcentral
UACAGAGGUCGCAAGCGUUGUUCGGAUUCAUUGGGCGUAAAGGGUGCGUAGGCGGCGCGGUAAGUCGGAUGUGAAAUCUCGGAGCUUAACUUCGAAACUGCAUUCGAUACUGCCGUGCUUGAGGACUGGAGAGGAGACUGGAAUUUACGGUGUAGCGGUGAAAUGCGUAGAUAUCGUAAGGAAGACCAGUGGCGAAGGCGGGUCUCUGGACAGUUCCUGACGCUGAGGCACGAAGGUCAGGGGAGCAAACGGG